UCUGUCAUCUCUCACACAACAGAAUGAUGAGUGAAAACAUUGCUUCUGUGAAUAUGCUCAUGAAUUCGUCGUUGUCUUCAUCCGACAACGGCGAACUCAUUCUUGUAGCAUUCGCAGAGCGCGAGGAGGAACAGUAGGGGAACCGUCGACGCCAUGGUGGUUCCAAGCAUGGACCUCAGAUGAUCAAUCGACGAAGAGAUGCGGGAUUUGUUCUACUCUGGAAUGACUACUUUAGUGAAAAUCCUCGCUAUCCCGAAAACUUAUUUCCCUUUUGUGGAGGCUCCUGUUGUCCAUUUUUUUAGUUGGCAUCCUCACUUGUUCCCCGAUUGGGCCGCAACUUGGUGUUCCAACCCAAUUUAUGUCACUCGAUCCCACAUUCA
RNAcentral lists this long non-coding RNA (380 nucleotides) under Hordeum vulgare. RNAcentral describes it as "long non-coding RNA (HVUL_LNC009201)". The record is from RNAcentral. Lineage: Eukaryota; Viridiplantae; Streptophyta; Magnoliopsida; Poales; Poaceae.